Molecule: ribosomal RNA, 838 nt
Filed under: uncultured bacterium
Lineage: Bacteria
Description: bacterial SSU rRNA
Rfam family: Bacterial small subunit ribosomal RNA
Source: RNAcentral
AGAGUUUGAUCCUGGCUCAGAACGAACGCUGGCGGCAGGCCUAACACAUGCAAGUCGAGCGCACCUUUCGGGGUGAGCGGCGGACGGGUUAGUAACGCGUGGGAAUAUACCCUUUGGUACGGAAUAGCCUCUGGAAACGGAGAGUAAUACCGUAUGAGCCCUUCGGGGGAAAGAUUUAUCGCCAAAGGAUUAGCCCGCGUUAGAUUAGGUAGUUGGUGGGGUAAUGGCCUACCAAGCCUACGAUCUAUAGCUGGUUUUAGAGGAUGAUCAGCAACACUGGGACUGAGACACGGCCCAGACUCCUACGGGAGGCAGCAGUGGGGAAUCUUGGACAAUGGGCGCAAGCCUGAUCCAGCCAUGCCGCGUGAGUGAUGAAGGCCUUAGGGUCGUAAAGCUCUUUCGCCUGUGAAGAUAAUGACGGUAGCAGGUAAAGAAACCCCGGCUAACUCCGUGCCAGCAGCCGCGGUAAUACGGAGGGGGUUAGCGUUGUUCGGAAUUACUGGGCGUAAAGCGCACGUAGGCGGACUGGAAAGUAUGGGGUGAAAUCCCAGGGCUCAACCCUGGAACUGCCUCAUAAACUAUCAGUCUAGAGUUCGAGAGAGGUGAGUGGAAUUCCGAGUGUAGAGGUGAAAUUCGUAGAUAUUCGGAGGAACACCAGUGGCGAAGGCGGCUCACUGGCUCGAUACUGACGCUGAGGUGCGAAAGUGUGGGGAGCAAACAGGAUUAGAUACCCUGGUAGUCCACACCGUAAACGAUGAAUGCCAGUCGUCGGGUAGCAUGCUAUUCGGUGACACACCUAACGGAUUAAGCAUUCCGCCUGGGGAGUACGGUCGCAAGA